Molecule: unclassified non-coding RNA, 452 nt
Filed under: Hevea brasiliensis (rubber tree)
Lineage: Eukaryota; Viridiplantae; Streptophyta; Magnoliopsida; Malpighiales; Euphorbiaceae
Source: RNAcentral
AACAACCCUGUUAUUGUCAAAUGGGAUGACAUCAGUAUAACGAUUCUUGCUGAUGUUUGUGCUGUCCAAAGCCACCAAGCAUCUACUCUUCAUUUCUGAAGCUUUCAGCCUAUUUUCCUGCAAAGUGGAGAACUCUGAGGCAAUUUUGUCCGGAGAGUGACACCUUUUCUGCUUAAAUGCUUUAAGUGCUUCCAAACAGUGACUACGCUGAUCAGGCGACAGUACGAUUCUCUGUAGAACUGAAUCAGCAGAGAAAUCCAAAGAUUUAUUAGCAGUACCAGGAGCAACAGGUGGCGGCUCUGUGAAAGUGACAGCGGAGGAUAACGGAUUACCGGCGGCAGCCAUGGCCGAUCUCCGGCUCCGACUCCGAACUGAUACGGCGCUACCCGUGGUUUCGACUUUUUUUGUUCUUUUUUUUUUCCUUUUUGGUUCACGAGUGUGCUGCUGUCCCG